ACCUGGUUGAUCCUGCCAGAUAA
RNAcentral lists this ribosomal RNA (23 nucleotides) under Airopsis tenella. RNAcentral's name for it is "partial 18S ribosomal RNA". Lineage: Eukaryota; Viridiplantae; Streptophyta; Magnoliopsida; Poales; Poaceae. The record is from RNAcentral.